Molecule: ribosomal RNA, 541 nt
Filed under: Kazachstania martiniae
Lineage: Eukaryota; Fungi; Ascomycota; Saccharomycetes; Saccharomycetales; Saccharomycetaceae
Description: LSU rRNA
Rfam family: Eukaryotic large subunit ribosomal RNA
Source: RNAcentral
CGAGUGAAGCGGUAAAAGCUCAAAUUUGAAAUCUAGUACCUUCGGUGCUCGAGUUGUAAUUUGUAGAGGGAUACUUUGGGGCCGUUCCUUGUCUAUGUUCCUUGGAACAGGACGUCAUAGAGGGUGAGAAUCCCGUGUGGCGAGGAGUGCGGUUCUAUGUAAAGUGCUCUCGAAGAGUCGAGUUGUUUGGGAAUGCAGCUCUAAGUGGGUGGUAAAUUCCAUCUAAAGCUAAAUAUUGGCGAGAGACCGAUAGCGAACAAGUACAGUGAUGGAAAGAUGAAAAGAACUUUGAAAAGAGAGUGAAAAAGUACGUGAAAUUGUUGAAAGGGAAGGGCAUUUGAUCAGACAUGGUGUUUUGUGCCCUCUGCUCCUUGUGGGUGGGGGAAUCUCGCAGCUCACUGGGCCAACAUCAGUUUUGGCGGCAGGAUAAAUCUAUAGGAAUGUAGCUUGCUUCGGGAAGUGUUAUAGCCUGUGGGAAUACUGCCAGCCGGGACUGAGGACUGCGACUUUGUCAAGGAUGUUGGCAUAAUGGUUAAAUGCC